RNAcentral lists this long non-coding RNA (3593 nucleotides) under Homo sapiens (human). RNAcentral describes it as "HSALNT0157680". Lineage: Eukaryota; Metazoa; Chordata; Mammalia; Primates; Hominidae. The record is from RNAcentral.
AUUAAGUUCAUCUAGGGUUUAUCUACUCGAGUGAAGUAAAAUAAAAUAUUCAAUUAGUACAGUGAAUACAGGUGACCAGCCAGAUGAUCCAAACGACAAUCUGGUUUUUUCUCAUUGGCUCCUUUUUCAUACAUAAAAUUUUCCAAAUAAUUUGAUUUUCUUAUCAGUUUGACUUAUGCAAAUACAGACUUAACGUGGCUUACUUAUGACUAUAUUGUAUUUACAGUUGUUCCUAAUGGCUUUCUAAGAUCUCUUUUUCUGUGUUUAUUAUUAGGGCCAAUUCUUGAAAUCAUUUACUUCUUUCCACACUGACAGAAUCCUGCAUGUCUUCAAUUUUCAGUUACUAACUUUUGAGAGAGGUUUUUCUAUGACAUAGGAAACAUAGUUGACUUUUGAUUAUUUUAUUUUUGAUUAUUUUAUGGUGGCUUGACCUGGUCUUCAAUAUCUUCCCUUUAUAUGUCUUAUAUUUUAAAAUAUAAUAAUAAUCUCAUUUGCAUUUAAUUAAUUUUUUCUAAUUUUUUUUGAAUAAGUUUACGGCUGGGAUUUCAUGGCAAAAGGCUUAGCAUAUUUUGAUCUUUUUUUUGUUUGUUUGUUUUUGAGACAGGGUCUCACUGUUGCCCUGCCUGGAGUGCAGUGGUGUGAACAGAGCAGGCUGUAGCUUUGACUUUCUGGACUCAGGUGAUCCUCUCACCUCAGCCUCUCAAGUAGCUGGGACUAGAGGUGCGUGCCACCUUGCCUGGCUAAUUUUUUUAAUUGUUAUUUUUUCGUAGAGACAGGGUUUCACCAUGUUGCCCAGCCUGGUUCAAACUCCUGGGAUCAAAUAAUCCCCUGCCUCGGUCUCCCAAAGUGCUGGAAUCACAGGCACGAGCUACUGCACCAGGGCUAUUUUAAGUGGAAAUGAGAUCCAAGUUAAUUCCAAGUUUAUUUCCAAGGUCAAGGAUUGAAGGAUGAUACGUGGUAAAUUCACGUGAGAGUUGGAUAUGGCCUUUGGAAGGAGCUCUCACAUGCCCCAGGAAUAACUGGACAUGGAGUAGGGACAGAGUGGUGUCAGUGACAGGAGUGAGCCCCAGGGAGAGAAUCCUUUUUGUUUUAAACCACAGAAGACACUUCAGUAAGAGAAGGUAGAAACAAGAAGCAAGUGGGGGAUUGACGUGCUUGGAUCCCACAAACGAGUUUAAAAGUAUUAGAAGCAGGCUAGACACGGUGGCUCACCCUGUAAUCCCAGCACUUUGGGAGGCCAAGGCGGGUGGAUUACCUGAGGUCAGGAGUUCGAGGACAGCCUGGCCAACACGGAGAAACCCCAUGUCUACUAAUAAAACAAAUAAAAUAAAAUAAACUGGGUGUGGUGGCGCGCAUCUGUAAUUCCAGCUACUCAGAGGCUGAGGCAUGAGAAUCGCUUGAGCCCAAGCGGUGGAGGUUGCAGUGAGCCGGGAUUGUGCCAUUGCACUCCAGCCUGGGUGACAGAGUGAAACUUGGUCUCAAAAAAAAGUAUUAGAAGCAGAUGCAAAAUUCAGAAUAUGAAGCCAGGAGCCUGGAAAGCAAGAACGAGAGAGUUGAUAUGAAGUGGUGAGAGUCAGAAGCUGCUCAGGAGGACUGCUGUAUUUCCCGGCAGCCUCUGCGUGGGCAGCAGCGGGGUAGGCGGCCGAGUCUCCCAGGCCACGGACCUGUAUUUCCCGGCAGCCUCUGCGUGGGCAGCAGCGGGGUAGGCGGCCGAGUCUCCCAGGCCACGGACCUGUAUUUCCCGGCAGCCUCUGCGUGGGCAGCAGCGGGGUAGGCGGCCGAGUCUCCCGGGCCAGGGACCUGUAUUUCCCGGCAACCUCUGCGUGGGCAGCAGCGGGGUAGGCGGCCGAGUCUCCCGGGCCACGGACCUGUAUUUCCCGGCAACCUCUGCGUGGGCAGCAGCGGGAUAGGCGGCCGAGUCUCCCGGGCCACGGACCUGUAUUUCCCGGCAGCCUCUGUGUGGGCAGCAGCGGCAUAGGCGGCCGAGUCUCCCGGGCCACGGACCUGUAUUUCCAGGCAGCCUCUGCAGUGGGCAGCAGCGGGGUAGGUGGCCGAGUCUCCCGGGCCACGGACCUGUAUUUCCCUGCAGCCUCUGUGUGGGCAGCAGCGGGAUAGGCGGCCGAGUCUCCCGGGCCACGGACCUGUAUUUCCAGGCAGCCUCUGCAGUGGGCAGCAGCGGGGUAGGUGGCCGAGUCUCCCGGGCCACGGACCUGUAUUUCCCGGCAGCCUCUGUGUGGGCAGCAGCGGGAUAGGCGGCCGAGUCUCCCGGGCCACGGACCUGUAUUUCCCGGCAGCCUCUGUGUGGGCAGCAGCGGGAUAGGCGGCCCAGUCUCCCGGGCCACGGACCUGUAUUUCCCUGCAGCCUCUGUGUGGGCAGCAGCGGGAUAGGCGGCCGAGUUUCCCAGGCCCCGGACGGGACAGAUUGGAUCGCACCUGUCACAGCCACGCUCUGGAAUAGCGAGGGCCCAGCGUCCCCAGGCCCAGGGUGAGGAGAAUCCCUGCCACACUGUGUCUGGAAUUGGUGGGUUCUUGGUCUCACUGACUUCAAGAAUGAAGCCGCGGACCCUCACGGUGAGUGUUACAGUUCUUAAAGGUGGCGCGUCCAGAGUUUGUUCCUUCUGAUGUUCGGAUGUAUUCGGAGUUGCUUCCUUCUGGUGGGUUUGUGGUCUCACUGGAUGAGGAGUGAAGCUGCGGGCCCUCGCAGCGAGUGUUACAGUUCUUAAGGCGGCGCGUCUGGAGCUGUUCGUUCCUCCCGGUGGGUUCGUGGUCUUGCUGGCUCAGGAGUGAAGCUGCAGACCUUCAUGGUGUUACAGCUCUUAAAGUGGCAUGUCUGGAGUUGCUCGUUCUUCCUGGUGGGUUCGUGGUCUUGCUGACUUCAGGAGUGAAGCUGCAGACCUUCGGGGUGAGUGUUACAGCUCUUAAGGCGGCGCGUCUGGAGUUGUUUGUUCCUCCCGGUGGGUUCGUGGUCUCUCUGGCUUCAGGAGUGAAGCUGCAGACCUUCGUGGUGUUACAGCUCAUAAAGGCAGUGUAGACCCGAAGAGUGAGCAGCAGCAAGAUUUAUUGCAAAGAGUGAAAGAACAAAGCUUCCACAGUGUGGAAGGGGACCUGAGCUGGUUGCCAUGGCUGGUUCGGGCAGCCUGCUUUUAUUCUCUUACCUGGCCCCACCCACAUCCUGCUGAUUGGUCCAUUUUACAGAGAGCUGAUUGGUCUGUUUUGACAGGGUGCUGAUUGGUGCGUUUACAAUCCCUGAGUUAGACACAAAAGUUCUCCAGGUCCCCACUAGAUUAGCUAGAUACAGAGUGUCUGUUGGUGUAUUUACAAACCCUGAGCUAGACACAGAGUGCUGAUUGGUGCAUUUACAAACCUUGAGCUAGAUACAGAGUGCCGAUUGGUGCAUUCAUAAUCCCUUAGCUAGACAUAAAGGUUCUCCAAGUCCCCAUUAGACUCAGGAGCCCAGCUGGCUUCACCCAGUGGAUCCCACACCUGGGCUGCAGGUGGAGCUGCCUGCCAGUCCCAGGCCGUGCGCCCGCACUCCUUAGCCCUUGGGCGGUUGAUGGGACCGGGCGCCGUGGAGCAGUGGGCAGCGCUCGUCG